Megalobrama amblycephala (Wuchang bream) is the source of this 1683-nucleotide long non-coding RNA. RefSeq lists it as uncharacterized. The transcript is spliced from 6 exons. NCBI's taxonomy places the organism in Eukaryota, Metazoa, Chordata, Actinopteri, Cypriniformes, Xenocyprididae. The record is from RefSeq and is a predicted model, not a curated record.
UAUGUUUAGACAAUACACUGUAAUUUAAUGUUGUUUUUAAUCCUUUCCCCACCUAAACUAAGAGAAUAAGAGAGUUAGAGAACCUUUUCAAAAGGACCCCGUGACAGACGUUUUUUUUUCUGACGUCAUGACUCACGAGCCUUUCUCGAGUUUUCUGCUCGGCCGCCAUUAAUUUCCCGUGGGGAGCGGGAAAGACGCUCGAGUCGAGGCUGAGGGGGUCCUCGCAUUACAAUUAUUGAGUUUAGGUUUUUAAAUUAAUGUUUGUCAGUUCUUUUAUUUGUCUCUUUCACGUUAGCUCUGAUUUAUUGAUCUAUUUGUUCGACCAAAAUGACGAAGAAAGUCUGUGAGUAAAGACAUACUUAAGGCUUAUUUCAUUUGACUAGCGCGAGGUGUUUUUUUAUUCUGUUUUUUUUAGUAGAAUGAAAUGGUUGCGUAUUUACACAACUAAUUAAUUACUUGCACUGCAGCAAACAAGUUUUUUCAUUUAUAAACACUUAUUCCCCUCCCCCUUUUAGGAUCUAAAACUCUUCAAUGUUUGACGACUAAGGACACUUUGCAAUAACUUUACAUGUGACAGUAACCAUUGACAUUACAUUAAUCACAGAAGAUCACAGUUCCAGCUAAAAAUAUUUACUGUUCUACUGAAGAAAUAAAAAAAAGUCAACUUGGAUGGCCUGAUGACUGAAAACAUUCACCUGAGAAGUGUGUCCUGAAGGCCCUUAUCCUUUUCCUGAGAGAAAGUCCUGAAGACCUCAUCAAGGAGUACUUUCUGAGUUGAACGAUAACCCGACAGAUGAUUGAGGAGCAGCUCACCAUGGCGAUGUUCAUUAUUUGGAAGGAGGGGGAGAACUCCAUGAACCAUCUGCUGACAUUGAGGGAGUUAAAGUUUUGAAUCAACUUACUUCAAUUACAUCAGCUUGUGCCCUGCUUCUAGGCCUACAGUUGGAAGCAGCUAUUCUCCUCUUGCCUGCACUGUUCAAGGUGGACCUGGGGUUGCUGUUUGACAUUGAGGGCCAUGCUCAGACCAGCCCUCCUGUCAUCCCAACACCUAAGAUAGUGCCUAAAGCCUGCGGGAGGAUCAUCUCAUGCAGUAUGACCACAUUUUGUUCACGUUGGAUGGCCAGUUAAUCACAGAGUAGAGUGAGGACAUCUUGAUGGCACUGGACCUCCUCCUAUGUGUAUAUUUUGCAUUUGGAAUUGAAUCCAAUCCAGUAUCCUAAAGGACUGAAAAAGACACUGACCUUUUUGAAGUGUGUUGUUUUGAAAUUGAAGGAUGCAGACGGACUUCCUGUCACUGUAAAUUGAGUGUACAACUCAAUCUGUGAGUAGAAUUUCGGAGUCAAUAUUCUCUCUUGCUCCCUUUCUUAUGGUUUUAGUUCCAGUUUCUAUAUUGUUUUUGAAAUCAUGAAGGACUUACAAAAAUGUUAGUUUCUAUAUUUUGGACUUUUAUUUAUGUUGCCUAGCAGGUUUUUUGUCUUAUUUUUGUUCUUGUACUAUAUUUUUUGUUUUGUACUAUUUGAUUGAUCUUGAGUAAAUAAAUAAUGUACAUUUCUACAUUUUGGACUUUUAUUUAUGUUGCCUAGCAGCUAUGGAUUUUAAUUUUACUAUUAUAGGUGAACACAUAGGUGCAUAUAUAUGUGCAUAUAUGUACCUAUAUAGGUAUAUGUAUGCACAUAUAUAUGU